UGGGGAAUAUUGCGCAAUGGGCGAAAGCCUGACGCAGCGACGCCGCGUGGGUGAUGAAGGCCUUCGGGUCGUAAAGCCCUGUCAAGAGGGACGAAACCUCGUCGACCGAAUACGUCGGCGACCUGACGGUACCUCUGAAGGAAGCACCGGCUAACUCCGUGCCAGCAGCCGCGGUAAUACGGAGGGUGCAAGCGUUGUUCGGAAUCACUGGGCGUAAAGCGCGUGUAGGCGGCCUUCUCANUAUGGUGUGAAAGCCCGGGGCUCACCCCCGGAAGUGCAUUGGAUACUGGAAGGCUGGAGUACCGGAGAGGAGGGUGGAAUUCCUGGUGUAGCGGUGAAAUGCGUAGAUAUCAGGAGGAACACCGGUGGCGAAGGCGGCCCUCUGGACGGAUACUGACGCUGAGACGCGACAGCGUGGGGAGCAAACAGGAUUAGAUACCCUGGUAGUCCACGCCGUAAANGAUGGGUACUAGGUGUUCGGGGUAUUGACCCCCUGAGUGCCGCAGCUAACGCAUUAAGUACCCCNCUUUANGAGGNUACGGCCGCAAGGCUA
Molecule: ribosomal RNA, 553 nt
Filed under: uncultured bacterium
Lineage: Bacteria
Description: bacterial SSU rRNA
Rfam family: Bacterial small subunit ribosomal RNA
Source: RNAcentral